This 1444-nucleotide ribosomal RNA is filed under the name uncultured Ralstonia sp. RNAcentral describes it as "bacterial SSU rRNA". It matches the Rfam family "Bacterial small subunit ribosomal RNA". Lineage: Bacteria; Pseudomonadati; Pseudomonadota; Betaproteobacteria; Burkholderiales; Burkholderiaceae. The record is from RNAcentral.
UUUGAUCAUGGCUCAGAUUGAACGCUGGCGGCAUGCCUUACACAUGCAAGUCGAACGGCAGCAUGAUCUAGCUUGCUAGAUUGAUGGCGAGUGGCGAACGGGUGAGUAAUACAUCGGAACGUGCCCUGUAGUGGGGGAUAACUAGUCGAAAGAUUAGCUAAUACCGCAUACGACCUGAGGGUGAAAGUGGGGGACCGCAAGGCCUCAUGCUAUAGGAGCGGCCGAUGUCUGAUUAGCUAGUUGGUGAGGUAAAGGCUCACCAAGGCGACGAUCAGUAGCUGGUCUGAGAGGACGAUCAGCCACACUGGGACUGAGACACGGCCCAGACUCCUACGGGAGGCAGCAGUGGGGAAUUUUGGACAAUGGGGGCAACCCUGAUCCAGCGAUGCCGCGUGUGUGAAGAAGGCCUUCGGGUUGUAAAGCACUUUUGUCCGGAAAGAAAUCGCACUUACUAAUAUUAGGUGUGGAUGACGGUACCGGAAGAAUAAGGACCGGCUAACUACGUGCCAGCAGCCGCGGUAAUACGUAGGGUCCAAGCGUUAAUCGGAAUUACUGGGCGUAAAGCGUGCGCAGGCGGUUGUGCAAGACCGAUGUGAAAUCCCCGGGCUUAACCUGGGAAUUGCAUUGGUGACUGCACGGCUAGAGUGUGUCAGAGGGGGUAGAAUUCCACGUGUAGCAGUGAAAUGCGUAGAGAUGUGGAGNNAUACCGAUGNCGAAGCAGCCCCCUGGNAUAACACUGACGCUCAUGCACGAAAGCGUGGGAGCAAACAGGAUUAGAUACCCUGGUAGUCCACGCCCUAAACGAUGUCAACUAGUUGUUGGGGAUUCAUUUCCUUAGUAACGUAGCUAACGCGUGAAAGUUGACCGCCUGGGGAGUACGGUCGCAAGAUUAAAACUCAAAGGAAUUGACGGGGACCCGCACAAGCGGUGGAUGAUGUGGAUUAAUUCGAUGCAACGCGAAAAACCUUACCUACCCUUGACAUGCCACUAACGAAGCAGAGAUGCAUUAGGUGCUCGAAAGAGAAAGUGGACACAGGUGCUGCAUGGCUGUCGUCAGCUCGUGUCGUGAGAUGUUGGGUUAAGUCCCGCAACGAGCGCAACCCUUGUCUCUAGUUGCUACGAAAGGGCACUCUAGAGAGACUGCCGGUGACAAACCGGAGGAAGGUGGGAAUGACGUCAAGUCCUCAUGGCCCUUAUGGGUAGGGCUUCACACGUCAUACAAUGGUGCAUACAGAGGGUUGCCAAGCCGCGAGGUGGAGCUAAUCCCAGAAAAUGCAUCGUAGUCCGGAUCGUAGUCUGCAACUCGACUACGUGAAGCUGGAAUCGCUAGUAAUCGCGGAUCAGCAUGCCGCGGUGAAUACGUUCCCGGGUCUUGUACACACCGCCCGUCACACCAUGGGAGUGGGUUUUGCCAGAAGUAGUUAGCCUAACCGCAAGGGGGGCG